GAUGAACGCUGGCGGCGUGCCUAAUACAUGCAAGUCGAGCGAACGGACGAGAAGCUUGCUUCUCUGAUGUUAGCGGCGGACGGGUGAGUAACACGUGGAUAACCUACCUAUAAGACUGGGAUAACUUCGGGAAACCGGAGCUAAUACCGGAUAAUAUUUUGAACCGCAUGGUUCAAAAGUGAAAGACGGUCUUGCUGUCACUUAUAGAUGGAUCCGCGCUGCAUUAGCUAGUUGGUAAGGUAACGGCUUACCAAGGCAACGAUGCAUAGCCGACCUGAGAGGGUGAUCGGCCACACUGGAACUGAGACACGGUCCAGACUCCUACGGGAGGCAGCAGUAGGGAAUCUUCCGCAAUGGGCGAAAGCCUGACGGAGCAACGCCGCGUGAGUGAUGAAGGUCUUCGGAUCGUAAAACUCCGUUAUUAGGGAAGAACAUAUGUGUAAGUAACUGCGCACAUCUUGACGGUACCUAAUCAGAAAGCCACGGCUAACUACGUG
This 497-nucleotide ribosomal RNA is filed under the name uncultured bacterium. RNAcentral describes it as "partial 16S ribosomal RNA". It matches the Rfam family "Bacterial small subunit ribosomal RNA", at positions 28 to 507 of the family's 1533-position model. The record is from RNAcentral.